CUGCAGCCAAUUAAGCCGACCGUGCUCUUUUCUCCAUAGGGGCCCGGUGUGCAAUGGCCGCAAACAGCAGCAUCCUUGGUAGUGUAUGCAGCCUAUUGUUUGUGUGGGUUGUUCUAAGGGACCUUGGAGACAGUC
Small nucleolar RNA from Pteropus vampyrus (large flying fox), 135 nucleotides. Its record names the gene SNORA70. It matches the Rfam family "Small nucleolar RNA SNORA70". Rfam says of the family: snoRNA U70 seems to be exclusive to mammals and is a member of the H/ACA class of snoRNA which contain H (ANANNA) and ACA box motifs. The record is from Ensembl. Lineage: Eukaryota; Metazoa; Chordata; Mammalia; Chiroptera; Pteropodidae.